GACGAACGCUGGCGGCGUGCUUAACACAUGCAAGUCGAACGGAUAGGCCCUGCUUUUGUGGGGUGCUCGCGUGGCGAACGGGUGAGUAACACGUGAGUAACCUGCCCUUGACUUUGGGAUAUCUUCAGACAACUGGGGCUAAUACCGGCUAGGAGCUCCUGCUGCAUGGUGGGGGUUGGAAAGUUUCGGCGGUUGGGGAUGGACUCGCGGCUUAUCAGCUUGUUGGUGGGGUAGUGGCUUACCAAGGCUUUGACGGGUAGCCGGCCUGAGAGGUUGACCGGCCACAUUGGGACUGAGAUACGGCCCAGACUCCUACGGGAGGCAGCAGUGGAGAAUAUGGCACAAUGGGGGCAAGCCUGUUGCAGCAACGACGCGUGUGAGAUGACGGAUUUCUUGUGGUAAAGCGCUUUCACCUAUAACGAAGCUGGAGUGACGGUAAUGGGUAAAGAAGCACCGGCUAACUUCGUG
Molecule: ribosomal RNA, 468 nt
Filed under: uncultured bacterium
Lineage: Bacteria
Description: partial 16S ribosomal RNA
Rfam family: Bacterial small subunit ribosomal RNA
Source: RNAcentral